Lingula anatina is the source of this 165-nucleotide long non-coding RNA. NCBI's taxonomy places the organism in Eukaryota, Metazoa, Brachiopoda, Lingulata, Lingulida, Lingulidae. The record is from RefSeq and is a predicted model, not a curated record.
CCGACCACUUCGCAGCUUGGUGCGGUUCAGCUAUGUUAUGAAGCCAUAGACAGUAAUGGUUGUUCCGGACCUUUCCAGUGUGACACACUACAAGUUGUAGAUGAUCCAUGUUUGCUGGGGGCACCCUGCUUAAAUGGUGGAACCUGUACUAGUAUGGGGGAUCAG